This 559-nucleotide long non-coding RNA is filed under the name Lynx pardinus (Iberian lynx). Lineage: Eukaryota; Metazoa; Chordata; Mammalia; Carnivora; Felidae. The record is from RNAcentral.
CGGGUUUCCAUCUUCCCUCCACUGGCGGCAGGUGUGCAGGAGGUAGGCAGCUGGGGGAGGAGGACCUUUAGCGACUGCGAUCUGGAGCGCUCAGACCUUGCGCUCAGAUAAGUCAGCCCACUGGUCACCUGGCCUCCGCUCUUGUCUCCCUACAGACGUCCUCUCUACUCCACAGCCCCUGCAGGGUAAGUAUGAACCUGCAGGGUAAGUAUGAACCCUUCACUCAAUACGCAGGCCUCGGUGAACUUGCAGGUACCUGGAGGCAUCAUGCUGGUCCCUGCUUCCCAACGUUUGCACGUGCUGCUCCCUCCUGGAAAGCUGUUUCCCUCGGCACACACAGAGACAUGAACCCUUCCUUCAAGAAGAUUCCUCUUAAUGUCCUCUCCCUGGCUUCUCUACCUUCCUGAGCCUCAAUUUCUUCACGUACAAAACGGGGAUAGAAUCAUCUUCACCUCACCGGGUUAUUGCGGGGGUCCAAUGAGCUAGUAAUGUCCGCACAACGUUCAAGGCGAUGCUUGGCACAUAGUAGCUGCUCAUGAAAAGUUGUUGCCGAACAAAU